This 185-nucleotide ribosomal RNA is filed under the name uncultured bacterium. Its description in RNAcentral is "partial 16S ribosomal RNA". It matches the Rfam family "Bacterial small subunit ribosomal RNA", at positions 1316 to 1500 of the family's 1533-position model. The record is from RNAcentral.
CUGCAUGAAGUCGGAAUUGCUAGUAAUCGUAGGUCAGCAUACUACGGUGAAUACGUUCCCGGGCCUUGUACACACCGCCCGUCAAACCAUGAGAGUUGGCAACACCCGAAGUCGGUAGUCUAACCGCAAGGAGGACGCCGCCGAAGGUGGGGUUGAUGAUUAGGGUUAAGUCGUAACAAGGUAUC